RNAcentral lists this microRNA precursor (103 nucleotides) under Marmota monax (woodchuck). The record is from RNAcentral. Lineage: Eukaryota; Metazoa; Chordata; Mammalia; Rodentia; Sciuridae.
AGUGGUAUAACCAGAUCAAAUGGUAAUUGUAUUCCUAGUUUUUUGAGGAAUCUCCAUACUGCUUUCCAGAAUGGUUGCACCCAUUUGCUGUUCCACCAGCAAU